ACGAACGCUGGCGGCGUGCUUAACACAUGCAAGUCGAACGGUGAAGCGCCUUCCUUUUUGGUGGGUGUGGAUGAGUGGCGAACGGGUGAGUAACACGUGAGUAACCUGCCCCCUUCUUCUGGAUAACCGCAUGAAAGUGUGGCUAAUACGGGAUAUUCUGGGUCUGUCGCAUGAUGGGUCUGGGAAAGAUAUUGUUUCGGUGGGGGAUGGGCUCGCGGCCUAUCAGCUUGUUGGUGGGGUGAUGGCCUACCAAGGCGGCGACGGGUAGCCGGCCUGAGAGGGUGGACGGUCACACUGGGACUGAGACACGGCCCAGACUCCUACGGGAGGCAGCAGUGGGGAAUAUUGCACAAUGGGCGCAAGCCUGAUGCAGCGACGCCGCGUGAGGGAUGGAGGCCUUCGGGUUGUGAACCUCUUUCGCCAGUGAAGCAGGCCUGCCUCGUUUGUGGGUGGGUUGACGGUAGCUGGAUAAGAAGCGCCGGCUAACUACGUG
Molecule: ribosomal RNA, 493 nt
Filed under: uncultured bacterium
Lineage: Bacteria
Description: partial 16S ribosomal RNA
Rfam family: Bacterial small subunit ribosomal RNA
Source: RNAcentral